This 250-nucleotide ribosomal RNA is filed under the name uncultured bacterium. Its description in RNAcentral is "partial 16S ribosomal RNA". It matches the Rfam family "Bacterial small subunit ribosomal RNA", at positions 526 to 775 of the family's 1533-position model. The record is from RNAcentral.
CGUAGGUGGCAAGCGUUGUCCGGAUUUAUUGGGCGUAAAGCGAGCGCAGGCGGUUUCUUAAGUCUGAUGUGAAAGCCCCCGGCUCAACCGGGGAGGGUCAUUGGAAACUGGGAAACUCGAGUGCAGAAGAGGAGAGUGGAAUUCCUUGUGUAGCGGUGAAAUGCGUAGAUAUAAGGAAGAACACCAGUGGCGAAGGCGGAUUACUGGACGACAACUGACACUGAGGCUCGAAAGUGUGGGUAUCAAACAG